This is a non-coding RNA of Coturnix japonica (Japanese quail), 9954 nucleotides long. The record is from RefSeq and is a predicted model, not a curated record. Lineage: Eukaryota; Metazoa; Chordata; Aves; Galliformes; Phasianidae.
AAAUCCGUUGUUGUUUAUGAAAAUUUACAACUUUGCAAUACAACUUUAUGAGUUGUUCGGUUUUUCCAUUGGUCGUUGUCGGUCAUGUGGAUGGUAACCGUGAACAUGAACUUUUUUAUAAUUUCCCUUGCGAGAAUAGAGCCGCAUUCUUUUGCUGAGCUCUGUCCUGCUUCGGAUCUCUCUGGCUUUCAAUCCCCAUUUCAUUUGCUCUUUGUAAGGCAAUAGUGAACAAAGUGUGCGGAGGUUCGGCAUAAGCAGCCGCCUAGAACACAGAUCCGGGAUGGCAAUUUCCAGUUCCCCCGCUGGAAGGUGUGGCAUAUUGGAUUCAAAGCACUGGCGUGGCAGAUUUUCAACUUGCAACCUGGCUAAUUUCCUGCUUCUUCUGGCACCAAAAGGAGGGCGAUUCGUCUCCUGUGCAGCCAAAGCGACAGCUGUCAAAGUCGCAGGGGCUCCUGUGAGCCAGAACCUAAAAGGCUACGUGUGCCUCCUGGCCAUUCACAUUGUCACUUUUAGGUACAGAAGUAUCCAAACCACAAGUUCUCAAUACUGUGUGAAAAAAUGGCUCCCUGCAAGUCGAGGUAAGUUUUGUGCACAAGUUCCUUAAAGUUUGUCUUUAAGUGCCGGGGGAGCCGAGGCUCCCGCUCGCUCUUUCUCUUCCCCCCUUCCCCUCUCCCUGUGCCGAGCCGCGGGGCUGUUCCCCUCGCCCGGGGCAGCGCACUCAGCCCCAGGUUGCGCGCAGUGCUGAGCAGUGUCCCAGCCCCGCUCCCGCGGCUUCCAGCGCUCUAUUUUAGCGAUCAAAUCAAAGUAAACCACAAUAAGCGACUUUGGCAGAGAUGGAUUUUGGGGCCUAGCUUUAAUCACUUGGACUACCGCAAAAGAUAAUUACUUCCUUCGCUCCAAUAGACUCUCCAAGUUUGGAGAGGUUUUGUUUAGUGAGGAGUAGUUACUGCGGGCGAUUGAAAAAAAAGGAAAACAAAGUAGAUAGGGUUUGAUAUGAUCUGGGCAGUGCCUUCAGUAGGCAUGAUAGGGGUGGAGGCGUGAUGAUAUGGUAAUCAUCUUCGCAUUGGCGAAAUGUGUUGCACAUCAGAGCAAGUAUUAAAAUGGCACGGAACGCGCUGGAGUGCUUAAGAUUCCUCUUUUCUGCACUGGGUCGUGUGGGAAGCUUUAGUUAUGUAGCUAAGCCCAUCCGCGAGCGUGUGCGGCGCUUCGGGUGUGUGCAUUUAUGACUUCUUUUGUGUUUUUUUCUUACCAGUUCCUAUAUGUAAAUAUAAGACUAUAAAUGCUUUCGAGUGAUGCGCGUGUGUGCAUGCAUGUACCUAUCUGUGUGUACGCCUGUGUAAAUCCGAGCACAUGCCUCCAUUCAUGCUCUAUUGGUGUCUUUAUGUGUACAAAGGGUGUGUAUGUGUGUACACAUCUAUACGUUCCAGAGAGUGCUUUUUUUUUCCUCUCUUUUUUUUUUUUUUUUAAGCGAACCAAUUGACUGUAACUCGUAGCAUUAAUACAAGAGACCACAGGUCAUUAGAGUACUUCAAAUUAUGAAAUACGGGCUCGGCUUAUUGAAGAUUGUAAAUAUCCCCAAUGCUCUGCUCUCUCCCUCUCUGCCUUAUAUUGCUGGCUGCCAUUGUGGGGUAGGCCCCAGCUGCGUGUUUACUUCCACAUUCUUUUUAUUUAAGUGGACUGUUCUCACUAGAGUGUGAUUACUCAGCAAUAAACUUUAUGGCCGGAUUUAACUUCAGUCUUUGAAUUUCCAGGACUUGAAUGAAAGGGUGAAAGGAGCUCUGUCUCUCUUUGGUAGCUGCAAGGCCUGAUCCUUACCCCUCAGAGCGAGUGAUCUCGGGGGUGUGACGGACCGGUGGGGGCCGGGGAGGAGAUCUGAGAACGAGCUCCAAAAUGCGUCUGUACCCAACCUCGCUGUGAGAACCUCGUUCUCCACUCGGGUUUGGAGUAGAAGGGAUUCAACGCAAUCCCCUCUGCAGAUUGCAUUGUUUUCCUUGAUGUGUCAUAAACUCGAGUUUCAAGAAGAACGGGCCGGCGUGAUAGGAGAUGGGAGCCGGGCUUUGUUUGAUGUUGCCCCUGCUAUCCCAUGGCCCGAGCGGUGAGGUGAGGGUUCUAUGUGGCACUGAGAGCGGAAGGAGAGGCUGGGCUGCGGGUGUGGCAGGUCGCCGUGGACCUCUACAGGGUCUGCCCGAGGUCCACCACCAGCAUUGCUGGCUGAUCUCUUUUGAUUUCCCAUCCAUUUGCCUUAAACGUUUAAAAUACGCUCGCAUCAUCUAAGGCUGGCUCAGUUAAAGUUUUCACCGUAUUUACAAAUAUUUAAUAUUUGGAGUCAACCCCCAGUGUAAGAUAAAUGAAGUCCCAAGCCUUUGUGUCUGCGGAUCGCUCUGUGAGCACUAAACAAACACAUCUGCAUAUACUUUGUAUUACAAAUAAAUAAAUAAAUAAAUGGGAAAGGCUUUAAAAGCACAGCUCCAAAUACACAUUCGAAAAUCAUUUCCGUCAUAAACAGCUGGGGAUUUUAUAGCUCGCUAGCUGUCAGCUUCAUCAAGAGGAAUACCAGAAAGUUUUAUAUGAUAGGCGUGCACUAGAUUAUAUUAUAUGCCAUAAAAAUUUUAUAGUAGGAGGCAAAGGCAUGCAAAUGCUUUAAAAGUUUGGGCUCCUUUCAUAUGCGGGUCCUUUUCCGCAGGAGAAAACCUUUUCUUGUUAUAGGGAACCACACCGGGCGCAAACCGUUCCCGAUUACUCAAUACACAACAACACCGUGUUGCUUCAAGUGCCUGGUAAAUACACAAACACGUCCAAGCACACACCCGCUCAACUCAUGCUUUAGGAACCUGGAUGCCAUCUCGGGUUGUAAUGGUCUGCAGCGAAAAGCUUCGCUCCUAUUAUUUUCACGUUUUUGAAUGGGGUUUCUAGAGCGUACACUCGCAACGCUGUGGACAGAAAUUCAAGCGCUAUGGGAAAGGAUAACAUCACAAAAGCCCAUAAGCGUCUAAACCCGCCCGCACCGCAAGGAACUCUCUAACAACAAGAGAAACUUCGCUGGAAAUGACAACUUCUCAGCAGAUUCGGCCCUCCCCCGUCCGAAGCAGAAGAGCUGAAGUCGCUGCAAACCGGGGGCGCAUUCAGAUUUUGCAAUCCGCUUUUAAAAAUCGGAACUCAAACGACUCCAGACCGCCGAACAGUACAGAAAUAUUCCCGGAUCUUAAUUGUUUUCCGAGUGAAAAACGUCACGGAGAAUAAUCGCCUGGAAUCGAGAGAGAGCUCUUAUCUGAGCAGCCUUUAUUUAUUUAAUUUUUUUUCCCCCUUGGUGCUGUGUUUUGGGGAUUAAUGCGUGCGAGUUUGUUUUACUUUAGGCACAGCAAGUGGCGUUCAGAGCAUUGAAAUGCAGUUUACUUAAUCCUUUGAAAGAAAUACUUGAGUGUAGUGUGUCAUGUCUAAGCGUAGGGCCAAUUAAAGAUUAGGCAACUCUCUUAAUGUGUGUAGCCAGUGACUUUGGAAGCCAUAACUUUCUCUAAACCAGAAGUGUAACAAUUCGCUUGAAAGUCAUCCGUAAAUUACAGCUCUGCUGCACUUUCCAAGCCUUGCGAACGCCCUAAUUGCAGAACAUUACAGGGAAAUUUUGAUUCUGCCAUUUCCUUACAGUUAAUAAGUGUGUAUCUGUGGAAGGGUGACAAAAGAAGGGUUUGCAAUCUGCUCCAUGGGAAAUUGAAUGGAACAGAUCGUGAGGGGCGGAUCGGGAGGUUUCGAUUUCAAACCCUGGAUACUGGAGCAAUGCCUUUUCCCUCCCCGCAAAUACAGAUUUAACGCAUUAGCUGCACACAUAAGCAAAUCCCCUCACCAAGUUAAGCCAUCGCUUCGCUUCCUCACCUACUUUCCCUUCUACCCCCCAAAAUAUCCCCGAUUUAUUAUUAGAGUCGCUACCCACAGCACAAAAGGACGCAGCUCCCACUGCCGCCUGACCAUCUUCGAAAAUAUUAUCCCUUUUAAAUUAAAGCAUCCUGGCUAAUGUCUCUCUGGAAGGCGAAUACUCAUGGACCGACUCAGUCACAUGCUCGUGGGGCUGCACGCACAAACGACAUCGAAUCUGACUCCGAGAGAGUGUAAAAUUCGCGAGGAUUUCGCUUUAUGGCACGCGUAAGGAAUCUUUCCUACAACCCCCCCAAAAAUGGCUUUUCAAUAAUAAUAUUUGCUAUGAAGGUUAUUGGGUAAUUAUUGCAAUUUUGUGGAACAGUCCUUGCUUGAGGUGAAGUCUGUCUCCGGAUAACAAAUGGCAGCCCGUGCAGUUCACUGCCAGGUUAAGUAAAUGCAGAAAAGAUAAAUCUGCACACCCUAGGAAUCACCAGCAGAGCUCGCUUUAGACCAAGUUCACAGUCAACUCGUUUGCCUAGACAAGGCUUCGCAAACAAUUAGACUUGUUUCUUUAUGCUUAAAUCAAGGAGAAAUGACUAAGACCCUCGCAGCAGAGAGCUGCAGCUUUUCCCCCAACGCCGGUCCUACGUCCUUCCAACCUCACGCCCAGAACUUACCCAGCAUUUCACCUGCAAUUGUAACCAAAUAGCGCCUUUGAGUACAGGCUUCCCUCCAACGUUGCCGAAAGGCUGUGCAAACUGAUUUAACAGCACUUUACAAAGCUGCCAGAUUAAAGAAGAAGAAGAAGGAGGAGGACAAAAAAAAAAAAAAGGCAAUAAUUAAAAAUGCAAAAGUAUCCGAUUCCUCAACAGCGAGAAGAAGGGGGGAAAAAAAACUAAAAACAACAAAAAAAAAAAGCCCUUAGAAAGCUGGGGGGAAACGGCAGAACUAUUGAAACAAACACUGCGAGUCUCUUACUCCUAAAAGAAGCUGCAUAGCUUUUGUAUAUCUUUGUGGUUAAGGGCGUUACAACUGCAGGUCAAAAAGUUGAGGGUCAAAAGUUUACGUUUUGCACCACUCUUAGUCAUUCGUCCAGACAGAGUUUGAUGUCAAUGUUAUAGCCGAGAUCUUGACUAUCAGCACAAAAGAUAAAAUAGCUUUGAGUUACGUGUGUAUCACAGUAUGGACUCCAGGUGAACCCUACUGGCUGAAUGACCUCAAUUACCGAGGAAAGGAUAGAAAAUUCCUCUUUUCAAGAGUAAUACACGUUGUAUUUCAUCUUGAAUUAUCGGCCACAUUUGUGUCUGAAUAUCUCGGGCUCAGCGCGGCAGGUAAACACGCGUGUUCCCCCACCCCAGAACUGCCGCUGCUUCCCGUGGCCGGGGAGCGAAACGUUUCCCCUUGUUUAUUAUAUCAUAACCCGCUUUAAGAGGUUUAACGUUAAGCCUCCUCACUUUGCCAAACGGCAGGAAGAUAAGAUAGGAGCGGGGCAAUUAACGCGCGUAUCGAUCCCGGCCUCGGCUUUGUUUUUGGCUCUCGUUUCUAUAGAGCCCACUGAAACGCUCUUAACUGGGGCAGGACGCGGCCGUGUCGGUGCGGGAGGGCUGUGAGUUCGGAACGUUCCGGCCAGAGGAGAGCGGUGACGGCGCAGGGCUGCGGGGCCGCCUUUUUGCUACCGCUGGAUUAUGGUGUUGGCUGCCAGAGCGAUUUGGAUGGAGCUCCGAGCCUUCUGGAAUUACCCGUCGUUUCCCAGAGGGAUGGGGAGAGGAGAGGGUUGGUUUGUCUCCUCUCCUCAGCUAAAAAAAAAAAAGAAAAAANAAAAAAAAAAAAAAAAAAAAAAAAAAAAAAAAAAAAAAAAAAAAAAAAAAAGAGGGGGGUAAAAAAAAUAGAGUUUGGUGGAAUUUGGGGGGAAUUUCUUUGCGCAGAGUUAUUUCCACGUUGCUGGCGUUUUGUUUUGUUCCCAGCUCUCGCCUCGGUGUCGAAGCCUUAGCUAAAGCCCUCGGCCAGGCGUGUCUUGUGGGGGGAAGCGGCCGGAAUCUCAUUUGGGGAGAGGGGGAGAGGAGACCACUGCAAAUGGCAGGUUGCAACGAUAGGGAUGAGGGGUGGCUGGGAAAGGGAAAGGGCAUUCCGAAGUAUCCGCUAGCAGCUGUGAAAGGUAUGGAGGAGGGGACAGUGCCACGAGGAAGGAAGUCAGAGAAACAGCGCACCUCACCACCAUCCGUGCAUGGCUGCCUUUCGAGCUCAAAGGAGGGAGCCUGUGUAGUCUUCCACGCACGGGUUACGCGUGAAUUAUUUGCCAGGGACACGGCUGGAACGUGGCAGCCGGGCGAUAUUUCUUGGGAACACAUGUGCGUGGUGUGAGAUUUCAGAUCAGCCCGAGUUAUUGCUGGAGGCUUUGCCCGUUGUACCUGCUGAAGCGCAGCAAGGUGUGCGAGCAUUUGCUCGGCGUGGGGACCUUGUUCCCGAGCUCCUGCUGCUGCUCUCUUGCAGCGAGCCCUGGCACUGUCCGUUUGGAGAGCCUUCCCUCACCGCAGAUAUUGUUUAACCUUUCACAUCUAGAGUAUUUAUUUGGUGUAAGAGCGAAGCCUGAUAACAAGCUAAAAGCCGUGGCCAAAUAUCUAUUUUGUUAAAGAAUAGCGGGCAGAUUGUUUCCAAGAACAACAAUGCGUCUUUGAUACACCCAGAACGAAAGCUGCUACUAUAACUGGGUUACUCAAGAGUAGGUGACGGAAAUCCAUUUGCUUCCUUACCAAAACAAUUAGCCGCUCGAAUUCCGUACUUUUUUCAGUCUAGCCCAGGAUAAAAAAAAUAUCAGUGAGAAUAUUUUCAAGGAAGUUGAAACUUCGACUUCGGGAAAUACGGAAUCUUUCCAAUUGGUGUCGAAAUUAUUCCCUUAAAAUCUAAAUACUAGGAGAAAAAUAUAUAUGUUUGAAGCGAGCUCUUUCUUCCCUUUGGCUCUUUGGCUUUCAGCACGCCGCUCUCCGGCGUGGAAGCUGUGGCCCAAAGACCAUUCAUUUAAAAUCCGGGCGCAAAUCACGUUUUACGUGUGUUUAUUUAACCACGGCAGGACAGGGCGAGCACGGCCGCCAAACACGGCGUUGCUGGGUGCAGAGCCGCUGCCGGGGGAGUCCCCGCUUCUACACAACGCUGAACUUGGGGGCCUACAACGAGCGCGUCCCCCCAGUAGCGCCCGCUCGGAGCGAGCUGCGCCCCCGCGGAAGGCGGUGGCUGCCCCGGGGCUCUUCGAUUCUAGGGAACAAAGGGGGGAAUACAGUCGAUACAUUCCAUAACGUUUACAUUUUCCCGCGAUUUUUUGCUUAAUUUUCCCUUAGAAGUGGUGACCUGGGCAAAGCACCCCGCUAUCUAAAAGGCACUCUUAUAGACCUUUUAGAAAAACUAAGUCCAAGGCCGAGGUGAACUUCAGGUCACCGCGUCUAACAAAUAUGAAAAUGUCGCCUGGUGAAGGGCACGCCUUGUUAUUUAACAAAGACUGUCAAUGUGUAAGAUUAAUAAGAAACAAAAUGCACACGGUGUCACUUUUCGGUCACUUUGAAACUCGGGACAGCCUCGCAUUCAAGAGGGGAAAGCUGAGGCUAAAUAUAUUCAAAAUGGUUCAAAUCAAAUUCAACCCAGGCUGCGGGUGCGAUCUUUCCUCCUCCUGCCCCUCUCUGUGGUGGGUGCCCGGGCACGGCGAAAGGUUGUCUUCUAUUCUUAUUAUCAUUGUUGUUGUUAUUAUUUUUACUCUCCUCCUUCUUCCCUUUUCUAAUCCUUACGGUUUAGCCGAUGGCGCGGAGGGGAAAGCGGUGUUUGCAUGCUUCUCAAGGAAAAGGGGGACCCCCUCACCCCCUCUUUGCGUAUGCAUGAAGCUGCUCGCCUUGGUGCACGGCAAUUAACUCUCUCACUCUCAACUUAAUUCCAGUGCAGUCCCCAUCUCCUCCUCGGCCGGGAGCCCCCGGCUCCACCACUGCUGAUUAAAGGCUCCUUCAGCAGCUGACAGAGCCCCCAGCCCCUCUGUAAAAAUAAGGGACCCGGCCUAUUUUUUCUCUCCUUUUCUUUCUUUGGGAGGUUGGGGUGAUGCUACAAGUUUGCAAAGGGAAGUACCGGGGAGGAAGGAAAAAAAAAAAAAAAAAGAAAGAAAGAAAAAAAAAAGGGUUUCAGAGAUUGUUUAUUACAGCCAUAAAUCUUGCAGUAAAAUGUCGAAAUGGCCGUGUGCAAGAUAACACUUGGUGGUCUUGGCUGGGUUCUUGUUUAUGAUAACAAAACCACAAAGACAUGGAACAGGCCUUUUGGAGGUCCUGCUUCAGCACAUCUCCUCAGCUUGAUAGAACCCCGCAGAAACAAGCUGAGCCCGGCAUCUCGGGUCACCUUGCAGAUUUACGGUCGCAUACAGCACCGCAUCCUUCUCCGUCCAACCCAGCGCCAGAGCCACACGGUAGAGAGGUGCGGCGAAACGAGUGUUCUCCUAGAUCUAAUCGCGGUAAAUAAUAGGAAGCAGAACACGCUCAGCUCGCCGGCACAGAGCCUACAAAUCGGGACAGCGGUUUUCGUUGUGUUUUCUCGUGCCUCGGAAGCACGGAACCUACUGUUCCGAGCUAGCCAUAAAGCCUCCGGACUUGCCUUAUGCCGAGGAUAACAUGUCCGGUACCACAGGGCAAUGCAUCUGGUGGCGGCCAGCAGUGUGCUGCUGAGUCUGUGUGCGUGUGUGUAACCGCAUUUCCUCUCCACGCAGAGUAAAUAGAGGAACUUAUCUAUUACACCACUUAAAGAGUUCCAUAGAUGUUCUGUUGGAAAUGAGUAAGUAAAUGUGUUUUAACUCUCUUUACAAAUUAGCCAUUCGAUAUGAGCAGGAAAUGAGUGAUUGUUUAGAUAAGUAGCCCAGUAUGCCCAAGUGUUGGAAGUGUUCGAACAUCUUACGAACCGCCCGCAGUGUGCGUGUGUCCGUGUGUGUCAAAUACAGAUCGAUACUCCGUGCGCCUACUUAGGUAGAAUAGAUCUCGAAAUGGAAUUUCAUUACACGUACCCAUUAUCUAUAAAACGGCUUAGGACAAGAAUCUGAAUUUUAAGCAGAGUAACUGUUAAUGUCGUAUCUUUAGGAGGGCCAGAUCAAAACCGCGUCGUGCUUGUCCCUGAUAUAUUGGAUGUAUUUUCCCACACCGGAGGGUGAGAUUACCCAAUCCGCAAUUAUAUUCUCAAACGAUGCGGUAAAUAUGUAUGUGGGUAUAUACGCCCUCCUGUAAAGGAAAGAAAAAAAAAAAAAUCGGAAAAGUUCGCUUCUAACUUCCGAUCUACAAGAGUAGAUGGCGUUCGAUUGUAUUUUUUUCCCCUUAGAAUAAGAGCGUAAUUAGUUUAACCAUCAAAUUUCAAUUACCUAAGGUCAGGGCGGGUGCCUCUUUUCCCUCUGAGCUGAAAAUAUCGUUAACAGUCUCAGUUCCAGCAACGCAGCAGUGGCCGGGUGCCCUUUCCCUCCCUCGCCAGGCGUUCUGCGAAGGCGACAGAGAUUUCUCUUGGAACUGAGAAUUCAGAAAUAGAGCCAGCACCGGGCAAGCGAAGAGACAGUCUUAAAUUCGUAGCUGGAAAACGCAGCUCUGCGGGGAGGGAUGUUCGCAGCGAGCCCCGCGGCAGCCGGUAGGAAGCGUUUAUAGCACCGCGCCGCCUUCCCUCUCCUCUCCGUUAUUCCCCGGCUCCCCGUGUCCCCCGCACCCCACAAGACACGGAGAGGCUCCCCUCGGCCUUCCCGCGACGUCCGCGCUAACUUUGGGAUGUGCUCCUCCAGCAAACGGGCUGCAGGGGGACGGGAGCUGCCGGCUCUCGGUUCGGGGAGAGGUCGCUGAGAAGGGAGGGGGUGAGGAGACCUCCACCCCUCAGUCCCAAAGGGAGGCGUUGGGUGAUGGGUGCGUGGAUAGCUAUUGUGCAACGCCCCGCUCAGCGCUUGCUUCCCUCCCCGGGCUGCUCUCUGCUUCCCCUGCCUGAGUUCUGACACGAAAGGGGGGGGGAAAAAAAUAGAAAAGAAAGAAAAAAAAAAAAGAAUGACGAGGGUAAGGACUGUCAGUUCUGGAUUAGUUUUAUCUCGCUUGACACCGCGAGUGUCGGCCGCAGCCCGGGCGG